GAUGAAGAACGCAGCGAAAUGCGAUAAGUAAUGUGAAUUGCAGAAUUCAGUGAAUCAUCGAAUCUUUGAACGCACAUUGCGCCCGCCAGUAUUCUGGCGGGCAUGCCUGUUCGAGCGUCAUUUCAACCAUCAAGCCCCCGGCUUGUGUUGGGGACCUGCGGCUGCCGCAGGCCCUGAAAACCAGUGGCGGGCUCGCUGUCACACCGAGCGUAGUAGAUUUUCAUCUCGCUCAGGGCGUGCUGCGGGUUCCGGCCGUAAAAAGCCUUAUUUACCCAAGGUUGACCUCGGAUCAGGUAGGAAGACCCGCUGAACUUAAGCAUAUCAAUAAGCGGAGGA
Molecule: unclassified non-coding RNA, 336 nt
Filed under: soil metagenome
Description: partial contains 5.8S ribosomal RNA, internal transcribed spacer 2, and large subunit ribosomal RNA
Rfam family: 5.8S ribosomal RNA (bases 1-120)
Source: RNAcentral